CAGUAGCCGCGGUAAUACGAAGGGUGCAAGCGUUACUCGGAAUUACUGGGCGUAAAGCGUGCGUAGGUGGUGGUUUAAGUCCGUUGUGAAAGCCCUGGGCUCAACCUGGGAAUUGCAGUGGAUACUGGGUCACUAGAGUGUGGUAGAGGAUAGUGGAAUUUCCGGUGUAGCAGUGAAAUGCGUAGAGAUCGGAAGGAACAUCUGUGGCGAAGGCGACUAUCCAGGCCAACACUGACACUGAGGCACGAAAGCGUGGGGAGCAAACAGGAUUAGAUACCCCCGUAGUCCCUGUCUCUUAUAC
RNAcentral lists this ribosomal RNA (301 nucleotides) under uncultured bacterium. Its description in RNAcentral is "partial 16S ribosomal RNA". It matches the Rfam family "Bacterial small subunit ribosomal RNA", at positions 509 to 807 of the family's 1533-position model. The record is from RNAcentral.